Molecule: ribosomal RNA, 419 nt
Filed under: uncultured bacterium
Lineage: Bacteria
Description: bacterial SSU rRNA
Rfam family: Bacterial small subunit ribosomal RNA
Source: RNAcentral
GAGGAAUAUUGGUCAAUGGGCGAGAGCCUGAACCAGCCAAGUCGCGUGAGGGAAGGAGGCCCUACGGGUCGUAAACCUCUUUUGUCGGGGAGCAACGGCCGGAACGGGUUCCGGCGUGAGAGUACCCGAAGAAAAAGCAUCGGCUAACUCCGUGCCAGCAGCCGCGGUAAUACGGAGGAUGCGAGCGUUAUCCGGAUUUAUUGGGUUUAAAGGGUGCGCAGGCGGACCCUCAAGUCGGCGGUAAAAUGUCGGGGCUCAACCCCGUCGUGCCGUCGAAACUGGGGGUCUAGAGUGGCCGCGAGGGAUGCGGAAUGUGCGGUGUAGCGGUGAAAUGCAUAGAUAUCACACAGAACUUCGAUUGCGAAGGCAGCAUUCCAGCGGUCAACUGACGCUGAGGCACGAAAGUGCGGGUAUCGAAC